CUUGUUUUCCCAAGCUGCUACAGAGCUUCUGCAGCUCCAAGCAUGACCACUAUAUUUGGCUGCUUAAAAGCAUGACAAGGGCAGAAAUCAUAAAGGCUUUGCCCAGCGGGCCUUGAUUGUCCUUGCCUUCUUGUCCUUUGGUGAGAACUUCAUUGGUCGUGGCUCCAAAAAUCAGGAGACUUUCUGUGAUGAAUUCACCAUAAGAACGUGGGACCCAGCCUCCCUUGAAGGACGUGCAUGAUUUCCCACUUACCUCCCGCAACCACUACCACCCACAUUGUCCACAGUAUUCAGCUGUCUCAGGGAGGAUCACAAUUAUUCUAAUGGGACUGCAAAGAGUGAAGGACACAGCUUUUAACAUCAGAUUCGAAUCCUACAAUUUGGAACCCAUGGGCACUUCUAGAUUGGAUCUUGCAGAGAUUUUUUACAACAGAAAGAAUGGAAAGGCAAAAGAAAACAUUGAGUAAUAACCAACCCAAGCAAGUCCAGCCUCUUUCUGCAGAAGCAGAUAAUCAGGAUGACUCCACCUUUGUAGCUGACUGAGGAACUUAGUGAACCCUGAAGAAAUGAUGAUUAAAG
RNAcentral lists this long non-coding RNA (579 nucleotides) under Gorilla gorilla gorilla (western lowland gorilla). RNAcentral describes it as "lncRNA (ENSGGOG00000044289.1)". The record is from RNAcentral. Lineage: Eukaryota; Metazoa; Chordata; Mammalia; Primates; Hominidae.